GUAGGGUGCGAGCGUUGUCCGGAUUUAUUGGGCGUAAAGGGCUCGUAGGUGGUUGAUCGCGUCGGAAGUGUAAUCUUGGGGCUUAACCCUGAGCGUGCUUUCGAUACGGGUUGACUUGAGGAAGGUAGGGGAGAAUGGAAUUCCUGGUGGAGCGGUGGAAUGCGCAGAUAUCAGGAGGAACACCAGUGGCGAAGGCGGUUCUCUGGGCCUUUCCUGACGCUGAGGAGCGAAAGCGUGGGGAGCGAACAGGCUUAGAUACCCUGGUAGUCCACGCUGUAAACGGUGGGUACUAGGUGUGGGGUCCAUUCCACGGGUUCCGUGCCGUAGCUAACGCUUUAAGUACCCGCCUGGGAGUACGGCCGCAAGGCUA
This 370-nucleotide ribosomal RNA is filed under the name uncultured bacterium. RNAcentral's name for it is "bacterial SSU rRNA". It matches the Rfam family "Bacterial small subunit ribosomal RNA", at positions 527 to 896 of the family's 1533-position model. The record is from RNAcentral.